GGCACGCAUGACUGUAAGUCGCUUUGGAUAAAAGCAUUUGCCAAAUGGCUUAUA
Molecule: non-coding RNA, 54 nt
Organism: Salmo salar (Atlantic salmon)
Lineage: Eukaryota; Metazoa; Chordata; Actinopteri; Salmoniformes; Salmonidae
Source: Rfam